AAGUUAAUUAUCUGCUAAAGAUCUAAAAAAAUUAGAUUCAUUGGACUCCAAUUGUUGGAUGCCUAGAGUUUUGGAUCAUAUGAAUUAGGGGUUCAAACCUCUAAUCAAUUCUUUGAUUGAAUUGCAUGGGGUGCCACUUGAUUUGAUCAAGUUAAGCAUGCCCACUUUAUUGAUGGCCUGAUGGACUAAGAAGGGGCUCACCCC
This 204-nucleotide long non-coding RNA is filed under the name Elaeis guineensis (African oil palm). RNAcentral's name for it is "long non-coding RNA (EGUI_LNC040840)". The record is from RNAcentral. Lineage: Eukaryota; Viridiplantae; Streptophyta; Magnoliopsida; Arecales; Arecaceae.